GAGAACUUCUGACUUGGGGUCAGCAAGCUUUUCUGGAAGUUUACCGAAAACCCCAGAACCUGAAUGUGUGACAGAAGCUGAGAAAACGGCACUCUCGCCUGCUCACGGGAGCUGGCUAUUAAAGCCUCGUCGUCCAGACAAGUUAAAGUGCGGGUGCCUGUUUUCCUGAGAGAUGUAGCACUUCCUCCACACAUUUUUUAAAAGGUGCAAAGUGCUAGAGACAGACUGAAGGCAAUACCAGAUACCCGUAGGCUAUGCCCUCGAAAGCGAAUCUCAGAAACUGUCUUUGGUCCAGGUGUAUCGCUACGUGAAAGUAAGCACCUGUCAGGUUGAUCGUGGCAAACCCAACGCCCGGGGUGAUAGCACUGAGAAGCUGCUUGAGUGUUAGCAUUUUGAACUUGUAUGUUCAGCCCAUAUUUACACUGAAGGAGCUUAAGGCAGUUGGGACCACUGUCGCAAAAAACUCAACUUGUACAGGAAUGUCUAAAGUUUGCAAGUAAAUGACUGACAUUGAUAAGAAGCUGUAGAAAAAGGAUGUGGUCAAAUGAGACCAAAAUCAGGUUCUUUGAAAUCAACUCGACCCCUCAUGUUUAAAAAAGGAGCUUGCUGGCAGCCAAUUACCUGAACACCACCUCCACAGCCAACCACAGAGCUGGAAACAUUAUGCUGUCGAGCUGUUUUUCUUCUAAAGCUACAGAACAACUUCAUUGCAUAGAGGGGUCAGUGCACAAGGCCAUGCACCAUUAUAAUCUUAAAUAAUAUUCUUCUUCCCUCAGCCACAAAAAUGACAAUGGCUUAAAACAUACCAUGAACAGCAGCCCUGAAACCUCCUGAGAUGUGUGCAAACCUGGUGACAAGCUACAACAUCCUACCGCUGUCUUUACCAAUCAGGUUUCUCCUCCACUUGUAACUUUUAUGUAAUGUUUGUUUUUCUGCAUUUUUGGUCAGCAUUCAAUCUCUAUGCAUUAAAAUAAAACCACUAUAAAAUUAGAGACUCUUCCUUUCUUUGCAAACAAACUCACAAAAUCAGCAGAUGAUCAAAUAUUACUUCCCUCGUAUAUAAGCAUUUUACAAGCGACACUGCUAUAGUAUUAUCAUGGUACAGUAAUAUUUGACAAUGUUGCAUUUUUGUUACAGUCAAAGGGAAUCUCAUUCAUGCAAAGUACCAAAUGUGCUGCAGCAAUCUUCAAAAAUUCUGGAUCACGCAAGAAAGGCUUCCUUUGAACAUUACCAUUGUUUCCCAUUAUGAAAAUUCCUCAGAUUUAUUGGAUAGGAGUUUCGGUGGUAACAGCUGUUUCCUGUUAGCUUAAAAAGUAUUUACCCACUUUGAGUUACUUAAUAUUUAUAGUAAUAGUCAAUAAAUUAGAAUAUGUGUUAUGAUGAGGCUUGUUUGUCUCUCUUUUUUUUUUUUUUAUAACCUUUAAGCAGGUAUACAACAUACCUUUCAAAAAGCCCACAUUCCUGUAAUAUAUUUUGUAUCGGUCUGAUGUAGUAUAUGUAUCUUAAAUGUCAUAUUUUCAAUAGCUGUAAAAGGAAAUCCUCAUAAUUAACAGAAAUAAAGACUUGAAAACAUCAGUUUGCAUGCAGUGUAAUGUAAAAAUUUAAAUUGCUUUUGUGCUUCUGAGGUGAUGACCAAGUUUGAAAUGACAAUAGCUUUCACCUUCCUUUCUGCCCCCUCUGGGUGGUCUUCCCAAGGCAUUUAGUACCUGAAGUGGAAAUGUGUCUGAACACAAAAGGUGUUUUGUGUCCGGAUCUGGAUUUUUGUCUGUUUUGGUGCUGUUACUUUGCUGAGCCCCUAGAUGGCGCGGAACCUGGAGGAGAGGCGACAGGUGUUCACCAUUUCCUUGAUCACCUGCUGAGGAGUAUUUAAGGAGGAGGCUGUCAACAACUUGUUGCCAGAGUGUUGCCUUUAGUGGUACAGCUCAAGCCACAUUACCUUGUCUUGUCCUUGCCUGGAACUUUUAGUAACUUGAUCUUUUUACUUUGCAGGAAUACCUGAACCUGACCUUGCCUUGUGGUGAAUACAGCUUGGAUUGACCUUUUCCUGUGGAAGAGCCAUUCUACUUUAUGAACCAAGAACCACACCUCUCGGACCUCGCUGGUUGGCAGCCACCGCGCCAACUUCUGUAUUCCUGGACUCAAUCAUUCUGGCACACAUUACCUUCAUCCUAAUCAGUCUCACGGGUAAACAACAUCUUGGUCUCUCUGCUUUCCUCCCUCUGGCGGAUCACUCCAUUAACCAAUUGGUUUCCCGGUUCCAGUUUCCCUGCCCAAGUCACUUCACUAACCCCUGCUGGUCCAACAAACAAUCAGUCGCAGAGGAGCCGAGAUGUCUGCGAGAAAGUUAGGUUGAUUUCUCACCUCUGUUUCUCUUAGAGGGAGGGUGUCAGGACCAGACUGAUAUAAGGAGGGGUCAGCACUUGUCUCAUCAGAUUUGAUCUCGGCUCUGUUCAGUAACACGUGUGAUGCGGAAAGAUCUGUCUCCCUUAUAAGGCUAAAUUAAUAAAGCUGGUUGAAUGGUU
Long non-coding RNA from Girardinichthys multiradiatus, 2522 nucleotides. RefSeq lists it as uncharacterized. Lineage: Eukaryota; Metazoa; Chordata; Actinopteri; Cyprinodontiformes; Goodeidae. The transcript has 3 exons. The record is from RefSeq and is a predicted model, not a curated record.